GCCAAUUUAGUUUCAAUCAGGUAAAAUGUUCUCUAGAUGGUGCAUAGAGAAAGAUGCAGGUUCAAAUCCUGUAAUUGGCA
This 80-nucleotide transfer RNA is filed under the name Caudoviricetes sp. RNAcentral describes it as "tRNA-Ile". It matches the Rfam family "tRNA". Rfam says of the family: Transfer RNA (tRNA) molecules are approximately 80 nucleotides in length. Their secondary structure includes four short double-helical elements and three loops (D, anti-codon, and T loops). The record is from RNAcentral. Lineage: Duplodnaviria; Heunggongvirae; Uroviricota; Caudoviricetes.